This 273-nucleotide long non-coding RNA is filed under the name Elaeis guineensis (African oil palm). RNAcentral's name for it is "long non-coding RNA (EGUI_LNC020811)". The record is from RNAcentral. Lineage: Eukaryota; Viridiplantae; Streptophyta; Magnoliopsida; Arecales; Arecaceae.
GGAGUUAGGUUUUGCCUUUAUGGGCAAUGCGCUCAGAUAAGGACCUCAUAGACAAGAAGAAAUUCAGGUCGAAGGUUCUUCGGUUGCCCAUGUUUUAAGGUAUGAGUUCUUUUUUACCCUAACUCCAUUUUUUUUUUAUCUUUUUGAUUUCAAAAAACUACCUCUGUACAGGGGAAGAUGUCAUGCUGUGAUUAUUUCGAAUAGUAUAUAUAAUGAGAAUAUCUACCCCCAUGAAAAGAUGGUGAUUAAUCAGCUCAAGAAAGAAGUGGAUGC